This 881-nucleotide long non-coding RNA is filed under the name Macaca nemestrina (pig-tailed macaque). Its description in RNAcentral is "lncRNA (ENSMNEG00000045898.1)". The record is from RNAcentral. Lineage: Eukaryota; Metazoa; Chordata; Mammalia; Primates; Cercopithecidae.
GCGGCCGGCAUGACGUCCCACCAGGACCCCUGCAGUCCCAGUGCACCCGCCUGGUCAUCCGGGGCCUGUCCUCACUGCCUGCUGCCUGCACUGUGUGGAAGGACAGAGGCUAAACGAGGAAGCCUGGAACUCUGGUCUCACGGACAUGGCAGCCUGCCCACCACCCACGCCUGCCCAGCCUUUCUUCACGCAGCGCUUAAAACGUGGAGAGCGGAAUCUUCUGGGCCCAGGUAACACACCUUUGCUCCGACAUUCCCUUCACUACUCACUGGCGAGCUCAGUUGGAAAUUCGCUCCCAGUAGGAGGUUCCGCAGCAGACACAUGUGUUGGGCCAAAAACAAACAGGCAAACAGACAGAGAAACAGAAACGAAGGGGACCUCAUACAUAAAAACACCAGGAAAUGAAGGGGACCUCAUACAUAAAAACACCAGGAAACGCAGGGGACCUCAUACAUAAAAACACCGGGAAACGAAGGAGACCUCAUACAUAAAAACACCAGGAAAUGAAGGAGACCUCAUACAUAAAAACACCAGGAACCUGAUGAGCAAUCAGCUUUGCAUUUACCAACCAUCUGUCUUCUCAAAGGACACUUACGUUGGAGAGAUUGACACCUCCCUUGAUCUCCACUGGCCACCAUCAUCCCUGCACAAGGACACUGAAUGCCUGCCACGUAGGCAAAAUAGCGCGUCUACCGUGCACAUCCGAAAAACAGUGGGCCUACUGUGCACAUCUGAAUCCGAACACACCCCUCUAUGUAGAAACUCUGUAGCCCAGAUUUGAUCUGUUCUGCUUUUCUCUUGAUGUGUGAUAACCUCAACACCAGUGGCAUCAAAUGACAACCCUAUCAUACUCACGGUGCUGUAAGCCAGGCAUCCAGGUG